RNA transcript from Suricata suricatta (meerkat), 5682 nucleotides. It is a transcript of the gene named T-lymphocyte surface antigen Ly-9-like, with no coding region annotated. The record is from RefSeq and is a predicted model, not a curated record. NCBI's taxonomy places the organism in Eukaryota, Metazoa, Chordata, Mammalia, Carnivora, Herpestidae. The transcript is spliced from 7 exons.
CCCACGAACUGUGAGAUCAUGACCUGAGCCAAAGCGAAUGCUUAACCGACUGAGCCACCCAGGCGCCCCUCAAGAAUCUUUGAUGACGCCAAGAGUGAGGAUUUAUUUGCAUUGUCCCAUUUAACCCCCACAAAAUCCUGGAGGUGACACUCCCUGUUUCACAGGUGAGAAAGCCGGGACUCAGAGAGGUUACGUAACCUGUCCACGACCACACGGCUAGUACCUAGCCAGGGUUUGAACUUGGGUAGUCUGCCUAGAGCCCUACUCUUCCCGAGUAGUCUGGCAUCGAAUGACUGUCCCCCGACCACCCUUCAGCCCCCUUGGCCAGCCCCGCUCUAGAGCGAUGUUCUCAGGACCCUGGCUGGGCCUCAGGGCUGGUGUCUGUUCAGCAGGGUCCGACCAAGCAGUUAUGUGGGAUGCGGCUGGGCAGUUUCCGCUGUGGUGGGGUUGGGCUAAGUGAGCUCCGCUCGUGUUGCCUGGAUCAGCAAGAGGGUGGCUCAGAGUACCAGCAGAGAUCAUCUGCCCUGCCCCAGGCCCCUCCUGAGAAUUUUCCUCUCUCGCCGUUCCACUUUCCAGUCGGCAUCAACUAAUUGUUUCAUUACAUGUGAAUUAGCUGAUAUAAAUGCUGAGGAAGACCCCUUUGGCACGAAGGAAAGGGUGCUGACCUGGGUUCUUGUUCUAUUACCAACCAGCCUGGCUGUCCUGAGUAACUUCUUUGGGUCUCCGUUUUCUCAUUUACAAAAUGGGAGGACAGUAAAACCUUGCUAUUGCGAGCCUAAUGCAUUCUGGAAACAUGCUUGUCAUCCAAAGCACCCAUACAUCAAAGUCAAGCACCGUUGGCUCAGCUGUGAUCACGUGACAUUCGGUGUCGCACACUACACGUAGUGCAAGAUAUCACUCCUUUAUCAAGUUGAAGUUUAUUGGAAAUGUUUGCCCAUCUUGUGGAACACUCGCAGAACAAGCCGCUGGCAAUCCGAGGUUUUACUGUAAUAAUCACUCACCCGACUCUCCCAUGUGGGUUGUGAGCCUCUGGCGAGGUCAGGCUCUUCCUGAAGCUUCUGUCCCAUGUCUGCAGGAACAGGGGCUUGCAGAGAGGACCCAGACCCUGUGACGGUAACUGGGACCCUGGGGGGGGGGGCUCUGUCACUCAGCCCCUGCAGCUCCGAGCUGCACGGCCAGUGGAGAGCAUCUCUGGGAUGUCCCCUUCGGUCUCCGUGGCGAUAGCCGCCGUAACUUUGGCGGAAGUGGAGGACCAGACACAUUUUACCAGGCGGAAAUCCGGCACCGGGGCUGUGCGAGUGUGGGGCCCAGGCCACUCGCCGCGGAUCCACAGCCUGAGCUGGCAGGUGCAGGGCCCUUCCGAGGAGCUCCUGCGGCACGCACGCCCGGGAGUCCAGUCUGCAAGUCUACGGUGAGUGUCCCGGGCCGCGGGUGUGAGGGUGGUACCCGUUUUCAGGCUUUCUGACAGCCUUUCCCACAUCUCUUCUAGCAACAUUUACAGUUUUGUGAAUUACAAGGCUAAUAUGUGCUCAUUGUAAAAACAAAACAAAACAAAGAAAAAAACGUGUAAAGUAGAGUUGCCCGGGAGAAUGUCCUGAACAAUGUCAAGGCCCAGGACCUGCCCAGACCAACGGCAGCAGGACCCCUUGGGUCUGUGAGGGCGGAGAAUGGAAUCCAGCUGCGAGAACUAAGUUGUGCCACGUCCAACCUGAGUGGCCGUGACCCUUCUCAGUGCUGCAGUAGGAACCCUACAUCUCGUGGAAAUCAACUCGUGCGGAAGAGCUUUGUGACAGGCUGGGCACACGGACGAGAACGCUGUGGUCGUAUUGCUUACAGAUAGUUAGAAAUUGCUUUAGCGGCAGAACUGCCACCGAGGUGCCAGGGGGGUUUCCCCAAGUCCCUGGGGUCUCACGACAGCCCCGCAGCUGGCAGGAAAGGGGCUUUUCUAUCCAAGCUGCUGCCACCGUCUCAGAGAGAAAAAAUGACACAGAGACAGAACGUGGCAGACCCAGGAAUAGAACUUAUGCACCUCGAUGCCACAUCCUGUGCUUCUGGUUUGUCACUGGGUUUAUGUGCUGCAGAGGGAGUCAUGGGGGAGGGCUUGGGGCCCAGGCCCAGGCUGGAGGAGACACAGUGGGGGAGGGGGGCGGCAGAAAGUUACUCAGCCUGCUUUCUGCCGGAGGACACUCUGGGCUGUGUGGUCCCAUCUUGCCCGGUGGAGCCGCCCCUGGGGCUGCUGUCAGGAGGGCCCUGGGGCCGACACCGAACCUUCUCCCAUGCCUGUGGCUCUGUUGAGAGUGGCCUGACUGUCCACUGUCUGCACCUGCUCUCCCUGCUACCCCCACGUCUCGUGGCUCUGGCCUGGGGAGGCAGGUGGGCAAAUAAUGGCAACAUGAAUAUCUUCUGGAAGCAUCUGAGUUCCUGGUCCUGGGGGAAGAAGGGAUGGGGCGCAGGUUGAAGAGAGUCCAAGGGAGUGGGAGAAACCUCAACGGCACAGGGCCGAAUCUUGUUGGGCAUCUGGAAGCUCAAUGUACACUGCAGAGCCCCCUAUCGGGGAGAGAUGUAAUUACAACAGGGGUCCACGCUUGUGCGGACUAGGGUGGGAACCCAGGCUUUGGGGUCAGAGCCACUGGAUUUGGAUCUUGGAUUAAUUAGUUAAUAGCUGGGACUCUGGGCAAGUUACUUGAAGCUCUCGGAGCCUGUUAAAUGGAGUAGGUACAGAACCUCCCCUACUUACUUCAUAGGGCUGUUCUGGGUAUCAAAGCACACUAAGUGGGGUCCCUGGGAGCCUCAGUCGUUAAGCAUCUGACUUCUGCUCACAUCAUGAUCUCAUGGUUCAUGGAUGUGAAUUCCACAUCGGGUGAGCUUGACCUGCUUUGGGUGAGCCCCACUUCUCUCUCUCCCUCUCUCUCUCUCUUUGCCCUUCGUGGGAUUCUCUCUGUCUCUGUCCCCUCACCCUCUUGUGCCCUCUCUUUCAAAAAGAAGAUGCUCAGUGGCUUGGACUUUAGAGCUCAAAGCUCUCCAAUAGACGCGGGCAGAUUGGGCCUCUGUGUCUCCCUGUGUGUUCUCAGCGUGGGGCAGCAUCUCAGUGUCGACACCUCGUGCCUUCUGCCCCCUGAAAGGAGCGCCCAGGGGAGCUCUGCAGUCCCUGGUUGGUGCUGUUUUGCUCCCACAGAGCAGCUGCGCCAGCCCCGUGUCACACUGCGCUCCAGGAUCGGGGAGAAGGGACAGUGCAUCUUCACCCUGACUUGUGCCGUAGAAAGCGGAGGAGGCUCUGGGAACUACAGCCGGAUACCAGGCUGCUGUGUCCCGUGGAGGUCUGUCCUCAGUGUCUCCUUGAGGCCUGGGGACAGUGCUGUGGCCUUGACCUGCGUGGUCCAGAACGCAGUCAGUAACACAGCUUCUGCCUCGUCUUAGUGCCACCUUUGUGCAGGGCCAGGGAUCCCGGGAGGGGACACGUAGGGGAAACGGUGAUCGCAUCCUUGGGGAGUCGGCCACUAGGCCCCUGGAGGUCCCAGCGGGUCUCUGGAUGGCUUGCUGCUGUUUUGCAACCAAGACCAGGAGGCAAACCGAUCCUGGUUGCUGGGACUCGAGGGCCUUACAGCCAACAUCUGCGUGCCCUCCCCCAUGGCUCUUCUCUCCAGAUCAGGCCCUGGAGGCUGCAGGACUCUGGCCCCUGCAGAGCCCGGAUCACCCUGCAUACUUGCCCGGUCAACACCACCAAAGAUUUCACCCUGCGUGUCUAUGAGAAGCUGAGGGAGCCCAAUAUCACUGCCAGUUCCAGGAUGGCCAGGGAGGGGUCUGCUACGUCCCCCUGCCAUGCUCCCUGGCCCCUGCUCGGCCGGGGCGGGGGCACCACUCUCAGUGUCACCUGGACAUCUGGGGUCAGCAACAGUUAUCGCUGCUCUGCCAGGAACCGGUCACGCAGAGCUCCGGCUCUGUCCCCACCGGGCCCCUCUGCCAAGAUUUGACCUUGACAAAUGGAGAAGCCAAGAGGAAUAAUGUGAGAAGGGGGUCACUCUGUGAGACACAGAGAUAAAGAAGUCUGUACCUGGAGCUCCGCCUGGUGCCAGCAUCUCCUGACUCCUACCUCUCUCCUGAGCGCACAGAAGCUUCAUGUGGCCUCACUGUCUUUGGAACUCCAGGGUCUUCGCAGAGGCUCUCCCCUCUGACCGGGCUCUGCCUCCCUGCACGUGGAUCUUAUUCCCUGUGGACCCCAGCUCCACCGCUGUUGUGUGAGAGAACCUUCCCGGAUCCUGGCAGCACCCGUGGGACAGGUCACCACUGCGCCACGCAGCUUUCUUUUAUACAACUCAUUGGCACUGCACUGCUAUUCAAAGAAUAAUUUGAUUCUUGGCCUCUACAAAGGAAAUCCUUUUCCCUCCCCACUGCACCAACUAAAGGGAAACUUCUCUGUUCUUUUCUACUCAAAGCAAACACAUCUGACACUAAAUGUGUGGCUCUUUCGCCCACACCAGCUGGUUCUCCAAUACCAGCUAGGUGUCCUACAAUUCAGUAAAAUUUUGACACUAUUGCUGUCAGAUCCCAUAAGUGAAGGGCUCAGUCCUAAGAGACUGCCCCCUUCAGAGGCCAGUGGCAAGUCGGGGCCUGCCACACUUCUGACCAACCCACAGGAGGCUAAGGGCUCCCACAACCCUCUCCUAGGGGCCAAUAAUUUUCUAGAAUACCUCACAGAACUGAGGAAAAACAGCCUUUUUAUGGAGGUGUCAUUAUGUGGGCAUGAUUGAUAAUCAUCGGACAUUCGUGACAAAACCUUAUCUCCAGCCCCUCUCCCAUCCCUGGAUGUUGGGAGAAAUGGGGUUGAAGCUCCAACCCUCAGAUCAUUUUGUUGGUUUCUCUGGCAACCAGCCCACAUCCUGAGGCUAUCUGGGAUCCUACCACCAGUCACCUCAUUAGCUUACAGAAAGACACUUAUCUUUUUGAAGAUUCCGAGGGUUUUAGGAGCUGUGUGGAAGGAAACUGGGGGAGAAGACCAAAUUUAUAUUUAUUAUUAUCUUUCAAUAUCACAGUCUCUCUCAUUAGAAUUAAGCACCCCAAGGACAGAGACCUCUGGUCACUGCUCUGUUUUUUGUGUUCAGCACAGUGCCUGGUACUUAGUGUGUUGUAGGUUAGCAAAUUGAGUAACAAAUUGAAACUCACUAACUUGCUGGUUUGACUUCUGUACAUUGCUUUGCAAAGGUAUCUCUCUGUUCCCUGUUCUGACUACGUGGUGACUGCUAUGUGGCUCUCUGUUGAAAUUAUCAGAAGGUGCUAACCUCACUGGUAAAUUUGCCUGUUUUCUAAACAGACGGCUUAGGUGGUAAAUUGCACUCCCGCCCCCCUGUUUGAGGCUGACCAGACAAAGCACACGUGUGGGAAGUCACAGAGUCACUGUCUCCCAGAACCUGGAGUGCCUACCUAUAAUUGGUCAUUUCAAGACCCUCUUUAAAGAACUUUAAAACUGGUAGGGUCCCACCAGAACUACUGUCUGUCUGUAAAACUGUGACUGAAAUGCUGAGAACUUUCAUUAGUUAACUAAAUGAUGAUGUUUGCUGCCUUGCUAAAGUCCAUACGAGCUCACUGCUACCUUUGUUCGGGGCCGUUCUCUGCUCCUGAACACCGGGGAGAUCGGGUUUGGCCCGGCCGUGAAUAAAAUCUGUAAUAAAGCUCUCUAAAACUCUC